UGAUGAAAAACGAGCAGUAAAACCUCUACAGGCUUGUAGCUCAGGUGGUUAGAGCGCACCCCUGAUAAGGGUGAGGUCGGUGGUUCAAGUCCACUCAGGCCUACCAGAUUCGCUCCCGUGCUUUGUUGUGGCAAAGCUCGCAUACUUCAGUAUGCUUCGCUUCACCACGCCGCGCCCGGAAACGAAUCAAAGGUAAGAGGUUCUGACUACACGAUGGGGCUAUAGCUCAGCUGGGAGAGCGCCUGCUUUGCACGCAGGAGGUCUGCGGUUCGAUCCCGCAUAGCUCCACCAUCUCGUGAGUGUUUACGAAAAAAUACUUCAGAGUGUACCUGAAAGGGUUCACUGCGAAGUUUUGCUCUUUAAAAAUCUGGAUCAAGCUGAAAAUUGAAACACAGAACAACGAAAGUUGUUCGUGAGUCUCUCAAAUUUGAGGGAAAGGCGAAAAGAACCCCGGCGAGGGGAGUGAAAAAGAACCUGAAACCGUGUACGUACAAGCAGUGGGAGCCCCACCACUAAGCCAGUGGUGAACUCCACAUACGCAUCCUUUGCUGAGGAUACGGUUAACGGAGCGCAAGCGACGUUCAACCGCAAAAGAAGCAGAGGGGGCUUAGUGGUGGGGUGACUGCGUACCUUUUGUAUAAUGGGUCAGCGACUUAUAUUCUGUAGCAAGGUUAACCGUAUAGGGGAGCCGGAGGGAAACCGAGUCUUAAUUGGGCGUUAAGUUGCAGGGUAUAGACCCGAAACCCGGUGAUCUAGCCAUGGGCAGGUUAGGGAAACCGAGUCUUAAUUGGGCGUUAAGUUGCAGGGUAUAGACCCGAAACCCGGUGAUCUAGCCAUGGGCAGGUUGAAGGUUGGGUAACACUAACUGGAGGACCGAACCGACUAAUGUUGAAAAAUUAGCGGAUGACCUGUGGCUGGGGGUGAAAGGCCAAUCAAACCGGGAGAUAGCUGGUUCUCCCCGAAAGCUAUUUAGGUAGCGCCUCGUGAAUUCAUCUCCGGGGGUAGAGCACUGUUUCGGCUAGGGGGCCAUCCCGGCUUACCAACCCGAUGCAAACUGCGAAUACCGGAGAAUGUUAUCACGGGAGACACACGGCGGGUGCUAACGUCCGUCGUGAAGAGGGAAACAACCCAGACCGCCAGCUAAGGUCCCAAAGUCAUGGUUAAGUGGGAAACGAUGUGGGAAGGCCCAGACAGCCAGGAUGUUGGCUUAGAAGCAGCCAUCAUUUAAAGAAAGCGUAAUAGCUCACUGGUCGAGUCGGCCUGCGCGGAAGAUGUAACGGGGCUAAACCAUGCACCGAAGCUGCGGCAGCGAACGUAUCACUUAAAGCGAUUCAGCGGGUUACGAUUGACGGAGCGAAGCGACGUCAAAGCGUAUACAAAGUCGAGUCGGUUUAAGGAUACGUUCGUUGGGUAGGGGAGCGUUCUGUAAGCCUGUGAAGGUGUGUCGUGAGGCAUGCUGGAGGUAUCAGAAGUGCGAAUGCUGUUGGGUAGGGGAGCGUUCUGUAAGCCUGUGAAGGUGGCCUGUGAGGGUUGCUGGAGGUAUCAGAAGUGCGAAUGCUGACAUAAGUAACGAUAAAGCGGGUGAAAAGCCCGCUCGCCGGAAGACCAAGGGUUCCUGUCCAACGUUAAUCGGGGCAGGGUGAGUCGACCCCUAAGGCGAGGCCGAAAGGCGUAGUCGAUGGGAAACGGGUUAAUAUUCCCGUACUUGGUGUUACUGCGAAGGGGGGACGGAGAAGGCUAUGUUGGCCGGGCGACGGUUGUCCCGGUUUAAGCGUGUAGGUGUGUGUUCCAGGUAAAUCCGGUUCACUUUAACACUGAGGCGUGAUGACGAGGCACUACGGUGCUGAAGCAACAAAUGCCCUGCUUCCAGGAAAAGCCUCUAAGCAUCAGGUAACAUCAAAUCGUACCCCAAACCGACACAGGUGGUCAGGUAGAGAAUACCAAGGCGCUUGAGAGAACUCGGGUGAAGGAACUAGGCAAAAUGGUGCCGUAACUUCGGGAGAAGGCACGCUGACACGUAGGUGAAGUGAUUUACUCACGGAGCUGAAGUCAGUCGAAGAUACCAGCUGGCUGCAACUGUUUAUUAAAAACACAGCACUGUGCAAACACGAAAGUGGACGUAUACGGUGUGACGCCUGCCCGGUGCCGGAAGGUUAAUUGAUGGGGUCAGCGCAAGCGAAGCUCCUGAUCGAAGCCCCGGUAAACGGCGGCCGUAACUAUAACGGUCCUAAGGUAGCGAAAUUCCUUGUCGGGUAAGUUCCGACCUGCACGAAUGGCGUAAUGAUGGCCAGGCUGUCUCCACCCGAGACUCAGUGAAAUUGAACUCGCUGUGAAGAUGCAGUGUACCCGCGGCAAGACGGAAAGACCCCGUGAACCUUUACUAUAGCUUGACACUGAACAUUGAGCCUUGAUGUGUAGGAUAGGUGGGAGGCUUUGAAGUGUGGACGCCAGUCUGCAUGGAGCCGACCUUGAAAUACCACCCUUUAAUGUUUGAUGUUCUAACGUGGACCCGUAAUCCGGGUUGCGGACAGUGUCUGGUGGGUAGUUUGACUGGGGCGGUCUCCUCCUAAAGAGUAACGGAGGAGCACGAAGGUUGGCUAAUCCUGGUCGGACAUCAGGAGGUUAGUGCAAUGGCAUAAGCCAGCUUGACUGCGAGCGUGACGGCGCGAGCAGGUGCGAAAGCAGGUCAUAGUGAUCCGGUGGUUCUGAAUGGAAGGGCCAUCGCUCAACGGAUAAAAGGUACUCCGGGGAUAACAGGCUGAUACCGCCCAAGAGUUCAUAUCGACGGCGGUGUUUGGCACCUCGAUGUCGGCUCAUCACAUCCUGGGGCUGAAGUAGGUCCCAAGGGUAUGGCUGUUCGCCAUUUAAAGUGGUACGCGAGCUGGGUUUAGAACGUCGUGAGACAGUUCGGUCCCUAUCUGCCGUGGGCGCUGGAGAACUGAGGGGGGCUGCUCCUAGUACGAGAGGACCGGAGUGGACGCAUCACUGGUGUUCGGGUUGUCAUGCCAAUGGCACUGCCCGGUAGCUAAAUGCGGAAGAGAUAAGUGCUGAAAGCAUCUAAGCACGAAACUUGCCCCGAGAUGAGUUCUCCCUGAGACUUCAGAAGUGAAACGCCGUAGCGCCGAUGGUAGUGUGGGGUCUCCCCAUGCGAGAGUAGGGAACUGCCAGGCAUCAAAUUAGAAGUAUGGCAUU
RNAcentral lists this ribosomal RNA (3192 nucleotides) under Salmonella enterica subsp. enterica serovar Derby. Its description in RNAcentral is "bacterial LSU rRNA". The stretch from base 286 to 3133 matches the Rfam family "Bacterial large subunit ribosomal RNA". Lineage: Bacteria; Pseudomonadati; Pseudomonadota; Gammaproteobacteria; Enterobacterales; Enterobacteriaceae. The record is from RNAcentral.